Molecule: non-coding RNA, 84 nt
Organism: Mycena crocata
Lineage: Eukaryota; Fungi; Basidiomycota; Agaricomycetes; Agaricales; Mycenaceae
Source: the annotation of a GenBank genome assembly
GGGCGUAUGGUGUAGUGGUAUCACUCAUGCUUUGCAGUCGGCUUUAUGUGUAUGCGGUCCAGGGUUCAAACCCCUGUGCGUCCA